AUUGAACGCUGGCGGCAGGCCUAACACAUGCAAGUCGAGCGGAUGAAGGGAGCUUGCUCCUGUCUUCAGCGGCGGACGGGUGAGUAAUGCCUAGGAAUCUGCCUUGUAGUGGGGGAUAACGUCCGUACACGGGCGCUAAUACCGCAUCCGUCCUGAUGGUGAACGUGGGGGAUCUUCGGACCUCACGCUAUUUGCUGUGCCUAGGUCGGAUUAGCUAGUUGGUUGGGUAAAGGCUUACCAAGGCGACGAUCCGUAACUGGUCUGAGAGGAUGAUCAGCCACACUGGAACUGAGACACGGUCCAGACUCCUACGGGAGGCAGCAGUAGGGAAUAUUGGACAAUGGGCGAAAGCCUGAUCCAGCCAUGCCGCGUGUGUGAAGAAGGUCUUCGGAUUGUAAAGCACUGUAAGUUGGGAGGAAGGGCAGUAAGUUAAUACCUUGAUGUUUUGACGGUACCAACAGAAAAAGCACCGGCUAACUUCGUG
Molecule: ribosomal RNA, 484 nt
Filed under: uncultured bacterium
Lineage: Bacteria
Description: partial 16S ribosomal RNA
Rfam family: Bacterial small subunit ribosomal RNA
Source: RNAcentral